RNAcentral lists this unclassified non-coding RNA (903 nucleotides) under Leishmania donovani. RNAcentral's name for it is "gene:LdHU3.27.3620(CDS-product:3-oxoacyl-ACP_redu ctase_putative)". Lineage: Eukaryota; Euglenozoa; Kinetoplastea; Trypanosomatida; Trypanosomatidae. The record is from RNAcentral.
CCACAGCGACAUCAGCGGGACGCCCGAGACAGAGACACACACGCACAGAUACCGUUUCUCUGAAGCCGCCCAACAUGGUGUGGAAUGUGCGUGGCAAGGUGGGCGUCAUCACCGGUGCUUCCUGCGCCCUCGGCCGCGAAAUCAUGGAGAGGCUGGCCAGCCAGCAUCAGAUGAAGCUGGCGUGUGUCUCUCGCAAGCCGCUUGCCACACCGCUGCCUGCUGGCUGCGCGGCUUUUGUGGCCGACGUGAGUCGCGGCGACGACUGCGACGCCCUCAUGAAAUCGGUUCAACGUGAGCUUGGCGCGGUGUCGCUUCUCAUCAACUGCGCCGGCGUUACACUCAGCAAGGUCCACGUGAUGUGCACCGACGACGACUACGCGGCUGUCAUGAAUACAAACCUGAAGGGUGCGCUGCAGGUGACGCGUGCGGCGCUGCGGCAUGGCGGAUUGCUCAAACUGCAGGAUGGGGCCGUGCUGCACAUAGGCUCUGUGGCGGGUGUGGUGGGCAACGAGGGGCAGGUGCUGUACAGCGCGUCCAAGGCUGCCCUCAGCGGGGCGGUCAAGUCGUGGGCGCUUGAGUAUGGCCCGCGCAACAUCCGCUUCAACGUGGUCGCACCGGGCCUCAUCGAUGGGGAAGGCAUGGCCACGACACUGACCGAGGGGCAGAAGCAACGUUGGCGUGAUGACUGUCCGCUCAAGCGGCUUGCCACCGCUUCGGAGGUGGCAGACAUGGCCGUGGCCGUGGCGCUGUGCCGCUACAUGAAUGGGCAGACAAUCGCCGUCGAUGGCGGCUUAUCGUGACGUGUGAGAGAUGACACGUUCACACGACUGUCUGUGUACGCGCCAUUUACAGGUCUCUGCAGGUGCUUCACCAUGUAUGGGGUGCGUAAACAGCGAUGCAUUU